CCUACGGGUGGCAGCAGUGGAGAAUAUUGGACAAUGGGCGAAAGCCUGAUCCAGCCAUGCCGCGUGUGUGAAGAAGGCCUUCGGGUUGUAAAGCACUUUCAGUGGGGAAGAAAGCCUUGGGGCUAAUACCCUCGAGGAAGGACAUCACCCACAGAAGAAGCACCGGCUAACUCCGUGCCAGCAGCCGCGGUAAUACGGAGGGUGCGAGCGUUAAUCGGAAUUACUGGGCGUAAAGCGCGCGUAGGCGGUCUGAUAAGCCGGUUGUGAAAGCCCCGGGCUCAACCUGGGAACGGCAUCCGGAACUGUCAGGCUAGAGUGCAGGAGAGGAAGGUAGAAUUCCCGGUGUAGCGGUGAAAUGCGUAGAGAUCGGGAGGAAUACCAGUGGCGAAGGCGGUCUUCUGGACUGACACUGACGCUGAGGUGCGAAAGCGUGGGUAGCAAACAGGAUUAGAUACCCCUGUAGUC
Molecule: ribosomal RNA, 465 nt
Filed under: Vreelandella stevensii
Lineage: Bacteria; Pseudomonadati; Pseudomonadota; Gammaproteobacteria; Oceanospirillales; Halomonadaceae
Description: partial 16S ribosomal RNA
Rfam family: Bacterial small subunit ribosomal RNA
Source: RNAcentral